Molecule: long non-coding RNA, 432 nt
Organism: Micropterus salmoides (largemouth bass)
Lineage: Eukaryota; Metazoa; Chordata; Actinopteri; Centrarchiformes; Centrarchidae
Exons: 3
Source: RefSeq, a predicted model, not a curated record
UCUCUCACACACACACACAGGUUUCUCUUCUAACAGGCCUGGAUGAAUCUCGGGAUUGGAAUAAUGUAGCUGUUGACACUUCAUUCUCCUUUGGUACACUAAGAACUACAACAUCAAACAUGAUGGAGCAAAUUCACCAGAAAUUAGAAAAUCUCUCUUCCGUUGAACUCAAGAGGAUCCCCACAUUUGCAGAGUCUACAGAUUUCCAGUUUUCUAAAACAAAAUGUGGCAAAUGAAAAGAGCAGCAACAUCUCUCUGUGAUGCAUGCAGAAGCCACAAUAAACCUUGCUAGGUUCCUUAAUUUAUCAGUAACACUCUACUACUAUGUUUUCAUGCUUUUAUCUUGUAGUGUUUUUUGUAUUAUUGUCUUUACACUUGUUAAAGUACUUUGUAACUUGUUUUUUUAAAAAGUGCUCUACAAAUAAGGAUUAU